This is a long non-coding RNA of Drosophila guanche, 942 nucleotides long. RefSeq lists it as uncharacterized. NCBI's taxonomy places the organism in Eukaryota, Metazoa, Arthropoda, Insecta, Diptera, Drosophilidae. The record is from RefSeq and is a predicted model, not a curated record. The transcript has 4 exons.
GGGGAAACAAAAGCAAACGAACAAACAAACAAACAAACAAAAACAAAAUGUGGAAACCUACCCGCGCUUUAAAACUUCGGUUUAAGAGGUCUCCCAGAGACCAUCGAGUUCCGCCGGAUAAAAAUUAAAAAACCAAAAAUUAAGAACUCAAACUUGUACACAUUUUAGACGGUUAAUUUCUUCUCUGUUCUUUUGUAAAUUACACAUUAAUAUUUUAUUUUUUAAAUUUUAAUUUUUUUAACUGGAAAAAGAACGAUCAAAUACAUGUAGAAAGCAAAGCAAAAGAAGUCUUCCAAGUGUACGCCAAGGUUGGGCUAUCCUUGCUACACUUCCCGGACUCAGCUACCUGCUGAACCGAAAUUCAAGCUACAACUUCCCCGGACAAGGAUUGAUACUGACAGUCGGCCAAACUUGCCCCCCUUCCAACGCAUAAGAUAUAGUUUUGGUUUAGGUUUCAAACUGAAUCAAAAUUGUAUCCAAAUUUCAUCGAAGGAAAUAUUUCCAACAAUAUUCCAAUAACUAGGACAAAAGUGUACCGCAAGGUUGGGCUAUCCUUGCUGCACUUCCCGGACUUACCCACCUGAUAGAACAAUUAAAAGUUGCUCCUGAGUUGCAACUUGCAGCUGACGAUGCAACUUUCCCUGACUUACCACCAGCUGAACCGAAAUUUGAACUACAACUUCCCCGGAUAUGGAAUGUCUUGGGCACUUCCCAUACUCCACAUCUCAUAAUAAUGUAAAACAAAAUAUACACGUGUCCAGAAAAAGGCUGAUACUGACAGACGCAGGAAAAUGAAAACUGAAAACGCAUCCGAUAUAGAUUUUUUAGGUUUCAAAAUUAAUCAAAAUGUUAUCCAAAUUGCAUCGGUGUGAUGUGCUGACACUUGAAGGAAAUAUUUCAAAAUGAAACAAAUGUAAAAUCCAUUUCGGAAAGCAAACUAUU